Molecule: transfer RNA, 63 nt
Filed under: bovine gut metagenome
Rfam family: tRNA
About the family: Transfer RNA (tRNA) molecules are approximately 80 nucleotides in length. Their secondary structure includes four short double-helical elements and three loops (D, anti-codon, and T loops). Further hydrogen bonds mediate the characteristic L-shaped molecular structure. tRNAs have two regions of fundamental functional importance: the anti-codon, which is responsible for specific mRNA codon recognition, and the 3' end, to which the tRNAs corresponding amino acid is attached (by aminoacyl-tRNA synthetases). tRNAs cope with the degeneracy of the genetic code in two manners: having more than one tRNA (with a specific anti-codon) for a particular amino acid; and 'wobble' base-pairing, i.e. permitting non-standard base-pairing at the 3rd anti-codon position.
Source: RNAcentral
CUGGUAGUUCAGUUGGUUAGAACGCUAGCCUGUCACGCUAGAGGUCGUGGGUUCGACCCCCAU